AUGGCGUUCGACGCCUUCACCGACAAGACCGCCGUCUUCCGCCGCCUCAAGGCCAAGCCCGAGAACAAGGUAUACCUCCUCUUCUUCCUAUCCCCCCCUUCCUCUUCUCCCCGCACCCGCCUGCCUACCUACCGGUUAGCUCAGCCAGAUCUGCCGCCGCCUCAGUACAGAUCUGAUCGAUAUGUGCUUGCUUUCUAUGAAUGGCUAUGGCAGAUGUGCUUCGACUGCAACGCCAAGAACCCCACCUGGGCCUCCGUCACCUACGGCAUCUUCCUCUGCCUCGACUGCUCCGCCUUCCACCGCAGCCUCGGCGUGCACAUCACAUUCGUCAGGUCAACGAACCUGGACUCAUGGACUCCGGAUCAGCUAAAGAUGAUGGCUUUUGGAGGCAACAAUCGUGCACAUGCUUUCUUUAAACAGCAUGGUUGGAGUGAGGGGAGUGGCAAAGUCGAUUCAAAGUACACAUCCAGGGCUGCUGAAUUGUACAGGCAGAUACUGCAAAAGGAAGUGGCUAAGAGCUCCGCCGUCAACGUCUUGCCAUCAUCCCCUGUUGCAGCGUCUCGGCCACCGAAUCCGACCGACGACUUCCCUGAUUUCAAGCUUGCUGAUGCACCAGAAGAGAAUACCAACGGGAAGCAUGAACCUGCUGUCGCCAAUCCACCAAAAGAGCCUGCCCAGGCACCAAAAGCCCCUACACACCCCACUUAUGUCAGUUCUGUAAAGAAGCCCCUUGGUGCAAAGAAGCUUGGCGCCAAGACUGGAGGCCUUGGUGUAAAAAAGCUCACUACAAAGUCAAAUGAAAGCCUGUAUGAUCAGAAACCUGAAGAGCCAAAACCCGCUUUACCAACAAUGACAACUACUACUUCAGCUGCAAAAAGUGGCCCAUCCUCGCAUUCACGUUUUCAGUAUGUGGAAAAUGAGACAUCAACUGAGUCAAAAACUGGAGGAGGCAACAAGACUGGCCAUGUAUCAGCACCAAAAACCUCAGACUUCUUUCACGAGUAUGGAAUGGAUAAUGGCUUCCAAAGGAAAACCAGCACAGCUGCCUCAAAGACUCAGAUAGAGGAAACUGAUGAAGCAAGGAAGAAAUUUUCAAAUGCGAAAGCAAUUUCAUCAUCACAAUAUUUUGGGAAUACAGACAGAGAACAGAAGGAGGCUCAGUUAUCUCUACAGAAGUUCUCGGGUUCAUCAUCCAUUUCAAGCGCUGAUCUGUUUGGCCGUGAUACAAAUGAUUCUGAUCUGGACGCAAGUGCUGCAGAUCUCAUCAACAGAAUAUCUUUCCAGGCUUCCCAGGAUUUAUCAUCUCUCAAGAACAUGGCCGGAGAAACCGGAAAAAAGCUGACAUCUUUUGCCUCGAAUUUCAUCACCGACCUCGACAGAAUUCUGUGA
This 1389-nucleotide ribosomal RNA is filed under the name Triticum aestivum (bread wheat). RNAcentral describes it as "partial small subunit ribosomal RNA". Lineage: Eukaryota; Viridiplantae; Streptophyta; Magnoliopsida; Poales; Poaceae. The record is from RNAcentral.